UAGGGAAUAUUGCGCAAUGGGGGAAACCCUGACGCAGCAACGCCGCGUGAGUGAGGAAGGUCUUCGGAUUGUAAAACUCUUUUAUUUGGGAAAAAUGUCUUAGUGGUUAAUACCCAUUAGGAGUGAUGGUACCAAAGGAAUAAGGACCGGCUAACUUCGUGCCAGCAGCCGCGGUAAUACGAAGGGUCCAAGCGUUGUUCGGAAUCAUUGGGCGUAAAGCGCGCGCAGGCGGAUUGAUAAGUCAGGUGUGAAAUCUCGGGGCUCAACCUCGAAACUGCGCCUGAAACUAUUAGUCUAGAAUGUCGGAGGGGGCAGGGGAAUUUCACGUGUAGGGGUAAAAUCCGUAGAGAUGUGAAGGAACACCGGGGGCGAAGGCGCCUGCCUGGACGACUAUUGACGCUGAGGCGCGAAAGCGUGGGGAGCAAACAGGAUUAGAUACCCUGGUAGUCCACGCCGUAAACGAUGAGCACUAGUUAUUGGGGGUAUUGACUCCCUCAGUGACGCAGCUAACGCAUUAA
RNAcentral lists this ribosomal RNA (518 nucleotides) under uncultured Pseudomonadota bacterium. RNAcentral describes it as "bacterial SSU rRNA". It matches the Rfam family "Bacterial small subunit ribosomal RNA", at positions 355 to 863 of the family's 1533-position model. The record is from RNAcentral. Lineage: Bacteria; Pseudomonadati; Pseudomonadota.